This 160-nucleotide ribosomal RNA is filed under the name uncultured Cenococcum. RNAcentral describes it as "5.8S ribosomal RNA". It matches the Rfam family "5.8S ribosomal RNA". Rfam says of the family: 5.8S ribosomal RNA (5.8S rRNA) is a component of the large subunit of the eukaryotic ribosome. It is transcribed by RNA polymerase I as part of the 45S precursor that also contains 18S and 28S rRNA. The record is from RNAcentral. Lineage: Eukaryota; Fungi; Ascomycota; Dothideomycetes; Gloniales; Gloniaceae.
AACUUUCAACAACGGAUCUCUUGGUUCUGGCAUCGAUGAAGAACGCAGCGAAAUGCGAUAAGUAGUGUGAAUUGCAGAAUUCAGUGAAUCAUCGAAUCUUUGAACGCACAUUGCGCCCCUUGGUAUCCCGAGGGGCAUGCCUGUUCGAGCGUCAUUUCAC